UACGUAGGGGGCAAGCGUUAUCCGGAUUCACUGGGUGUAAAGGGAGCGCAGACGGCGAUGCAAGCCAGGAGUGAAAGCCCGGGGCCCAACCCCGGGACUGCUCUCGGAACUGCGUGGCUGGAGUGCAGGAGGGGCAGGCGGAAUUCCUGGUGUAGCGGUGAAAUGCGUGGAUAUCAGGAGGAACACCGGUGGCGAAGGCGGCCUGCUGGACUGCAACUGACGUUGAGGCCCGAAAGCGUGGGGAGCAAACAGG
This 253-nucleotide ribosomal RNA is filed under the name uncultured bacterium. RNAcentral describes it as "partial 16S ribosomal RNA". It matches the Rfam family "Bacterial small subunit ribosomal RNA", at positions 524 to 776 of the family's 1533-position model. The record is from RNAcentral.